RNAcentral lists this ribosomal RNA (327 nucleotides) under uncultured bacterium. RNAcentral's name for it is "bacterial SSU rRNA". It matches the Rfam family "Bacterial small subunit ribosomal RNA", at positions 76 to 422 of the family's 1533-position model. The record is from RNAcentral.
GUCGCAAGACCAUUAGUGGCGGACGGGUGCGUAACGCGUGGGAACCUGCCUUGAAGUUCGGAAUAACUGCGGGAAACUGCAGCUAAUACCGGAUGUGGCCUGAGGGCCAAAGGGGAAACUCGCUUCAAGAGGGGCCCGCGUCCGAUUAGCUAGUUGGCGGGGUAACGGCCCACCAAGGCGAUGAUCGGUAGCUGGUCUGAGAGGACGACCAGCCACACUGGAACUGAGAUACGGUCCAGACUCCUACGGGAGGCAGCAGUGGGGAAUAUUGGACAAUGGGGGCAACCCUGAUCCAGCAAUGCCGCGUGAGUGAUGAAGGCCUUCGGG